CGAUUCAAAGUUCGAAAAAAAUCUAUUUUUACUGAAAAAUCAGCCAUUUUGUUACUAAAAAUAGAUUUUUUUCGAACUUUGAAUC
RNAcentral lists this microRNA precursor (85 nucleotides) under Paramuricea clavata. The record is from RNAcentral. Lineage: Eukaryota; Metazoa; Cnidaria; Anthozoa; Malacalcyonacea; Plexauridae.